RNAcentral lists this ribosomal RNA (429 nucleotides) under Verrucomicrobiota bacterium. RNAcentral describes it as "Verrucomicrobia bacterium partial 16S ribosomal RNA". It matches the Rfam family "Bacterial small subunit ribosomal RNA", at positions 355 to 776 of the family's 1533-position model. The record is from RNAcentral. Lineage: Bacteria; Pseudomonadati; Verrucomicrobiota.
UAGGGAAUCUUCCGCAAUGGACGAAAGUCUGACGGAGCAACGCCGCGUGAGUGAAGAAGGAUUUCGGUUCGUAAAACUCUGUUGUUAGGGAAGAAAAAAUGUAUAGUAACUAUAUACAAAAGAGACGGUACCUAACCAGAAAGCCACGGCUAACUACGUGCCAGCAGCCGCGGUAAUACGUAGGUGGCAAGCGUUGUCCGGAAUUAUUGGGCGUAAGGCGCGCGCAGGUGGUUUAGAAAGUCUGAUGUGAAAGCCCACGGCUCAACCGUGGAGGGUCAUUGGAAACUAAUAAACUUGAGUGCAGGAGAGAAAAGUGGAAUUCCUAGUGUAGCGGUGAAAUGCGUAGAGAUUAGGAGGAACACCGGUGGCGAAGGCGGCUUUUUGGCCUGCAACUGACACUGAGGCGCGAAAGCGUGGGGAGCAAACAGG